Long non-coding RNA from Syngnathus typhle (broad-nosed pipefish), 331 nucleotides. RefSeq lists it as uncharacterized. The transcript has 3 exons. Lineage: Eukaryota; Metazoa; Chordata; Actinopteri; Syngnathiformes; Syngnathidae. The record is from RefSeq and is a predicted model, not a curated record.
GCUGACGCAAACCCACGCCGGACAGGAGAGCUCAAAAGCCGGGUAACAUUUCAAGGAAGACCCCCCCUGCGCAGACCUCCACUAGGCCGGGAUGACUGUUCAGCUGUGGCGGGGAGUGGCCUCCCUCCGGUCGGCACGACGACUUCCAUAAUGUUACCGGGCGCUGACGCAAACCCACGCCCGGCAGGAGAGCUCAAAAGCCGGGUAACAUUUCAAGGAAGACCCCCCCUGCGCAGACCUCCACUAGGCCGGGAUGACUGUUCAGCUGUGGCGGGGAGUGGCCUCCCUCCGGUCGGCACGACGACUUCCAUAAUGUUACCGGGCGCUGACG